GAAAUGCGAUACGUAGUGUGAAUUGCAGAAUUCCGUGAAUCAUCGAAUCUUUGAACGCAUAUUGCACUCGAGGCCUCGGCUGAGAGUAUGCCUGUCUCAGCGUCAGCUCACCCCUCGCCCCACCCGACUCCCCCGAAAGGGAGGGUCGGGCUUCGGGCGGAAGUGGCCGUCUCGGCACCUGAAACACGGCGCCGGGUCGGCUGAAGCACAGGGCUUGCUGCCGGACACCCCCUUUCGCUGCAAAGGGGCGCCAGCUUGGUAGGUGGCUUUUGCCGCAUGCCGCUGUCGUUCCCGCCGCUUCGAUUGAAAGAGUCCGUGCCAGCGCGGCCAAGCAGGAAACCUGCGGGAAGGGCGAGUCCACCAGGGCUCCUCCGACCCGCACCAACCCUUUCGACCUGAG
This 400-nucleotide unclassified non-coding RNA is filed under the name uncultured fungus. Its description in RNAcentral is "sequence contains ITS1". The stretch from base 1 to 105 matches the Rfam family "5.8S ribosomal RNA", at positions 50 to 154 of the family's 154-position model. The record is from RNAcentral. Lineage: Eukaryota; Fungi.